UUAGGAGCAAGACGCCAUAAAAUUCUUAUGGCAUGGCAGUUUUGCCAUGGCGGGUUAUGGCGGCCGCCAUAUCCACGGCGCCAUGGCGGCCAUGGCGGGAUAUGGCGGAAAUUUGGCCCAUGACCCGCUUUACGGGCGGGUCAACCCGUUGACCCGACCCUUUGACCCUUUGACUUAGUUAAAUUAGGUUUAAAAAUUAGGGUUUUAACAUUAUAGUAGCCUCCAAAGUUCAAACUUGAAAUUGCUCUGCGCCGCCUCCUCUGAUUUUCGGACCGGCGACCACUGCUCCGGCGACGCACCGGCGACCCACUGCUCCGGCGAGCUCCGGCGAUCUCCGGCGACCUCAGGUAGGUUCUUUUUUUUUGGUUUUUUUAGUUAUUUUUCGUUUUUUAGUUGUUUUUCUAAUUUUUUACAGCAGUUUAUUUCAUUUAAACACUAGAUUAUUUUGAUUAUUUCAUAUUUUCUGAAAUUUUUCAAUUUAAGAUCAUGAUUACAAAUUUAGUUGUCAUUUUUUUUAUUUGUAAUCUUCCAAUUUUUAAUUUUUAACAGUAGAUUAUUUCUUUUUUCUUUUCUAACAUUUUUAAUUUCUAACAGUAGGUUUGCUCCUUUGGAGAUGAUGAAGAUGAUGACUACGUGGAUGUUGAUGAGGAGG
This 652-nucleotide long non-coding RNA is filed under the name Salvia miltiorrhiza (redroot sage). RNAcentral's name for it is "long non-coding RNA (SMIL_LNC008185)". The record is from RNAcentral. Lineage: Eukaryota; Viridiplantae; Streptophyta; Magnoliopsida; Lamiales; Lamiaceae.